Long non-coding RNA from Trichoplusia ni (cabbage looper), 2071 nucleotides. RefSeq lists it as uncharacterized. The record is from RefSeq and is a predicted model, not a curated record. The transcript has 2 exons. NCBI's taxonomy places the organism in Eukaryota, Metazoa, Arthropoda, Insecta, Lepidoptera, Noctuidae.
CGUCCUGUGUCGUCUCUUUAGACUGUCUAAAGGGGUGCCUAUAGGCCCAGCGAUUGUUAUGAUUAACUGGGCCUGUAGGCUAUUGAGGUUAAUCUUUCUAAAAAAUAUCGGGUGGUGAUCAGAUGUGAAUGGGUCCCGAAAAACUCAAUGUUGGAUGAUCUUUUAGGCAGCUUAUCAGUACCAUUGUUCCCUUUAUAUUCGCUAUGGCCAUUUAUAUAUUGGAUAAUUGGACAACCAUUGCAUUCUUUGAGGCGAUGACUCCUUUCUACAGCGAUGGCCGUCUGGAUGAUGGAUAUAAACUCGCAUUGGAAGAUCAAGUUCUCUGAGCUGAAUGUUCUUGAUGUUUAGAUUCAUUGAUACUAUUGAGUCUGCCUGUAGAAGUAUUUUUCCAUCGUUAGUGUUGUGCAAUAUAGUGAUUUUACGCAGUGCUGAUUCUCUACUGGUAAUAAUUGGACUUUAUAUCGUUUCUAAAGCAUCAAAUUGAUUUUUGUUUAUCACCAUUUUUUUAAAUCUGACUUAGCAAUUCAAAACUUGUCUACUUAUUUCAAACACAAAUAUUGAAAAACUCAUUUUUUAAAUUUGUGUUGGAGAAAUACUAGAAAAUAAGAUAACGCGUAUUAAAUCAUUAUCAUUCACUGUAAUAAUUUUAUCUUUAUAACUUAAUAUUGAUAACAUCACGUAAUAAAGAGGAAAUGGGUACAAAAAUACCGGAUCAGUGGUUUUCCUUGUUCCGCAGUCAAACCGUGUAAACGGUUUUGCGGGGCAUUUAAUUUACUUAUGUAAUAUAUAUGAGAAUAAUAAAGAUUUUGAAUUGAUUGAUUGAAUAGAGCGUUGCAACGAAUUAUUGGUAAUUUAUGACUACGUUCACCAGCUGAAUGAUUAAUAGGAAAAAACAUUCAGUGAGGCAAUAUAGGACUGUUUUGAACAUUCGUCGUGAACGACGAUUGUUUCCUUUUAAGAGAGUCCAUGCCAUGCUCGAGCCAUCCCUGUACCUUUUUCGUGAUAUUUGUGGCAUGGUAAAAAUAUUGGCCUGGCCAAUGUAAAUCACCUAUAGCAGUAUAUACUUGGGGCUAAAAUGUUUCCCUGCAUUGUCUAUUAAAGAAUCCCAAAAAAAUACUUAAUUAUAUUCAGAGAAGAUACUCUGCCCAACGAAACUAAAAGCAACUUUAAAAGAACUCUUUCUUUUUUCAUAAACGACUCCCGCGUUAAGGAAUGUCAUCCUUGUGUUGCGGGGGGUUUCAGAAACAUUCAAGUCACAUGCACAAAAACGCCCAGACUCAGGACAAGCAUGCGUGGAUAACCCACACUUGCCCUACGCCGGUUUCGAACCCACGAAGCGUCGCAAACGUUUGGCGUGGUGAAUUCAACUACACGACUGAAUCAGUGUUUUAAUUUUGGAGAAAAUCCACUUAAUAAAAAUGUCUGUUUUACAAUAUUUUAUUUAGUUUCACUUGUCCCGUUGUGUCUGCCUGUAAUCAAAUCAUGCAAGUUAAAUUUUAUAGACAUCCGGUUUCCGGUUGACAGCAUAAGUUAUCUAGGUAAAAUGAUGAAUGAAUGAUUUUGAUUAUGACCUAACAUAGGCCGUUACAAUAGCCGACGAAUGGCAAUUGGAUUAAAUUUGACAGUGAGUUUUCCUCCCCGUAUUGAAUUUACUGUAGUGUUGGAAAAAGGCUUAGGAGGAUACGAAUCAAUACAAUACAAUAAAAUGUUAAUCCAAUUUCCAUUAAUUCAUCGGCAGUUGUACACAGCGGGAUUGGGGCCCUGGUCUGAUGCUGAUGGGAACUGGUCAACGGAGCUCCGCUAAAAACACCCUCGAAUUUAGAUUUGUUUGAAUUGUCUUUUUGAGAACAUUUAUCCCAAAACUGUAGGAGUAGUGUUUUUUUAAAGAAAAGAAAGAAACUUAAACUCAUCCUCCUGUUAUUUUGAAUUCAGUUUCUAGAUAAGGGCGCGAGCGAAGUGUUACUCAAUGUAUUAGUUUCACAUCGUCAGUCCUACAGUGGAAAGUGACGAGACUGGUCGCCAGUCGUGGUUCAAUAAAUCGUGUUGUGCGUGCAGCCAGUUACACAAACCG